Molecule: long non-coding RNA, 468 nt
Organism: Bos indicus x Bos taurus (hybrid cattle)
Lineage: Eukaryota; Metazoa; Chordata; Mammalia; Artiodactyla; Bovidae
Source: Ensembl
UGCUGUUUGGGAAGAGGCCGUCCAGCAUCUGGAGAUCGUUAGGUUCAGCUGGGUGGAUGCGAAGGACGUUGUGCGCCUCCUGGCCCCAGACAUUGGGAUGGCACGUGUGGGCCUGGUCACCUCCAAGCUGGGCCAUGAGCUGGUGAGGCCUCCUGGGACCACAGCACCUUCCCCUUUCGAUACCAUGGACCACGAGGAGGACGAGACGGCGGGAGAGAGACACAGCAUGGAGGCUUAAGGUUAUACCUGGGAAACUUCAGAAGAGAUUACGACACAGUGGGGAAGAGGAGGCCACUCAGAACUGUGCCGACAAGGCCAGCACUUCCAAGUGGAAGGCGGAGGAGUCUGGAAGGCUGGGGAGGAAGGUGCCAGCAGGUGGGAGAUGCCGCUUUCCCCUAGAAGCCCUGCAUGACGCUGCCCGGGGGCUCCUCUCCAGAGCUGCCAAGAAUUCUGGGCACCCAGGCAAAC